AUGCUACAUGUUUCAUCAUUAGAUGCUACAGUCCUUCAACAAUGGAUGUCAUAUGAAUCUUUACCACUUGGAUCUGUAAUAGGAGUAGUAUUUUUCCUCGACUUACCUGUGUCCCCGCACAUUGACUCUGUUCCGGUACCUCCUGUAUAUACCCUCCACAUUGACUCUGUUCCGGUACCUCCUGUAUAUACCCUCCACAUUGACUCUGUUCCGGUACCUCCCAUAUAUACCCUCCACAUUGACUCUUUUCCGGUACCUCCUGUAUAUACCCUCCACAUCGACUCUGUUCCGGUACCUCCUGUAUAUAGCCUCCACAUUGACUCUGUACCGGUACCUCCUGUAUAUAGCCUCCACAUUGACUCUGUUCCGGUACCUCCUGUAUAUAGCCUCCACAUUGACUCUGUACUGGUACCUCCUGUAUAUACCCUCCACAUUGACUCUGUUCCGGUACCUCCUGUAUAUAGCCUCCACAUUGACUCUGUUCCGGUACCUCCUGUAUAUAGCCUCCACAUUGACUCUGUACCGGUAAUACCUGUAUAUGGCCUCCACAUUGACUCUGUACUGGUAAUACCUGUAUAUAGCCUCCACAUUGACUCUGUACUGGUAAUACCUGUAUAUACCCUCCACAUUGACUCUGUACUGGUAAUACCUGUAUAUAGCCUCCACAUUGACUCUGUACUGGUAAUACCUGUAUAUAGCCUCCACAUUGACUCUGUACUGGUACCUCCUGUAUAUAGCCUCCACAUUGACUCUGUACUGGUACCUCCUGUAUAUAGCCUCCACAUUGACUCUGUACUGGUAAUACCUGUCUACAGCCUCCACAUUGACUCUGUACUGGUACCUCCUGUAUAUAGCCUCCACAUUGACUCUGUACUGGUACCUCCUGUAUAUACCCUCCACAUUGACUCUGUACUGGUAAUACCUGUAUAUAGCCUCCACAUUGACUCUGUACUGGUAAUACCUGUAUAUAGCCUCCACAUUGACUCUGUACUGGUAAUACCUGUAUAUAGCCUCCACAUUGACUCUGUACUGGUAAUACCUGUAUAUAGCCUCCACAUUGACUCUGUACUGGUAAUACCUGUAUAUAGCCUCCACAUUGACUCUGUACCGGUAAUACCUGUAUACAGCCUCGCUACUGUUAUUUUACUGCUGCUCUUUAAUAUUAAUUAUUUGUAUUUUUAUACAUAA
This 1188-nucleotide long non-coding RNA is filed under the name Oncorhynchus mykiss (rainbow trout). RNAcentral describes it as "lncRNA (ENSOMYG00000048825.1)". The record is from RNAcentral. Lineage: Eukaryota; Metazoa; Chordata; Actinopteri; Salmoniformes; Salmonidae.